GAUGAACGCUGGCGGCGUGCCUAAUACAUGCAAGUCGAGCGAACAGACGAGGAGCUUGCUCCUCUGACGUUAGCGGCGGACGGGUGAGUAACACGUGGAUAACCUACCUAUAAGACUGGGAUAACUUCGGGAAACCGGAGCUAAUACCGGAUAAUAUAUUGAACCGCAUGGUUCAAUAGUGAAAGACGGUUUUGCAGUCACUUAUAGAUGGAUCCGCGCCGCAUUAGCUAGUUGGUAAGGUAACGGCUUACCAAGGCAACGAUGCGUAGCCGACCUGAGAGGGUGAUCGGCCACACUGGAACUGAGACACGGUCCAGACUCCUACGGGAGGCAGCAGUAGGGAAUCUUCCGCAAUGGGCGAAAGCUUGACGGAGCAACGCCGCGUGAGUGAUGAAGGUCUUCGGAUCGUAAAACUCUGUUAUUAGGGAAGAACAAAUGUGUAAGUAACUAUGCACGUCUUGACGGUACCUAAUCAGAAAGCCACGGCUAACUACGUG
Molecule: ribosomal RNA, 497 nt
Filed under: uncultured bacterium
Lineage: Bacteria
Description: partial 16S ribosomal RNA
Rfam family: Bacterial small subunit ribosomal RNA
Source: RNAcentral